Molecule: ribosomal RNA, 679 nt
Filed under: uncultured archaeon
Lineage: Archaea
Description: bacterial SSU rRNA
Rfam family: Archaeal small subunit ribosomal RNA
Source: RNAcentral
CCUGCCUAAGGAUGAGGCCGCGACCGAUCAGGUUGUUGGUGAGGUAAUGGCUCACCAAGCCUUUUACCGGUGCGGGCCGUGGGAGCGGGAGCCCGGAGAUGGGUACUGAGACAAGGACCCAGGCCCUACGGGGCGCAGCAGUCGCGAAACCUUUGCAAUACACGAAAGUGUGACAGGGCUAUCCCGAGUGCCAUCCGCUGAGGAAGGCUUUUACCCAGUCUAGAACGCUGGGGGAAUAAGGAGAGGGCAAGUCUGGUGUCAGCCGCCGCGGUAAUACCAGCUCUCCGAGUGGUGUGGAUGUUUAUUGGGCCUAAAGCAUCCGUAGCUGGCUAGGUAAGUCCCUUGUUAAAUCCACCGAAUUAAUCGUUGGAUCGCGGGGGAUACUGCUUGGCUAGGGGACGAGAGAGGCAGACGGUAUUUUCGGGGUAGGGGUGAAAUCCUAUAAUCCCGGGAAGACCACCAGUGGCGAAGGCUGUCUGCUAGAACGCGCCCGACGGUGAGGGAUGAAAGCUGGGGGAGCGAACCGGAUUAGAUACCCGGGUAGUCCCAGCUGUAAACGAUGCAGACUAGGUGUUUGGACGGCCACGUGCCGUUCUAGUGCCGCAGGGAAGCUGUUAAGUCUGCCGCCUGGGGAGUAUGAUCGCAAGAUUGAAACUUAAAGGAAUUGGCGGGGGAGCAC